RNAcentral lists this Y RNA (102 nucleotides) under Propithecus coquereli (Coquerel's sifaka). RNAcentral's name for it is "Y RNA (ENSPCOG00000000637.1)". It matches the Rfam family "Y RNA". From Rfam's summary of the family: Y RNAs are components of the Ro ribonucleoprotein particle (Ro RNP), in association with Ro60 and La proteins. Lineage: Eukaryota; Metazoa; Chordata; Mammalia; Primates; Indriidae. The record is from Rfam by way of RNAcentral.
AGCUGGUCCAAGUGCAGUAGUGUUUUCAACUAACUAAUCACGACCAGUUACAGAUUCCUUUCUUCCUUCUCCAAUCCUACUCCUUCACUUGACUAGCCUAAA